This is a long non-coding RNA of Mangifera indica (mango), 961 nucleotides long. RefSeq lists it as uncharacterized. Lineage: Eukaryota; Viridiplantae; Streptophyta; Magnoliopsida; Sapindales; Anacardiaceae. The record is from RefSeq and is a predicted model, not a curated record. The transcript has 2 exons.
CUCUAAAAUUUUCAUCUCUUGAUCUUGUGGAGAUUAAGAAGUGUUCUCUGCUUGUAUAUUUUGCUAGAGACGGCUUGCUGGAUAUUAUAAUCUCAAGCCUUUACCAGAUCCAGGUUCUUUUCUUCUUUUGCCUCUCCAUAACUACUUCUCCACUCCUAUUUCACCACCUUAGCCAGGGAUAUACUUGCGGUCCCCUGUUUUGGCUGCUUGUCCAUUAUCUCUUGUUGCUUGUCUGCUGCAUGCUUCCUUGCUGGAUAUUUGACAUCUGUUGCCUCCAGAGCCUUGCCACUUGUACUGAAAAUUCCUUAACUUCUCUCCUCUUCACAUACACAUGAGUCCUAACAGUUAAUCAUUGUUGGGAGAAAGAAACAAAAGAGAAGUCAAUGCACCUUUUACAGGAUACAUGGCAAGAUUAAAAGACAUGACUCACCAACUAUCUUAUUGUUCAUAACAUUAUGAUCUAGCCACACAGUCAGAAAAUUUAAGUUUCGGCUAGUGACUUGGAGAAAGUAUAAAGAAGGUUAAGGGCACAAACCACUAGAUCAUUGCUUCACGGACUUGGGGCUUCAUCAUGUCACCAUGUCAAAAAAUGCAAUGGCAGGGCAGCAAGUUAGGAACUGAGAUUGAGCAUUUUCAAUAUUGCUUCUUCGGUUACAUACAGGCGGCUGAACGAUGUUACAAAAUUGACUAAAUGCACUGCAGAGUGUUGUGGCUGCAAGGUCUUGCUAAAUGAUGAAAGUCAUGCUACAAAAGAAAACUUCACCUUUUCAAUUAGUGUGCACAAAGCCGGGAGAGUGUGAAAAGAAAGUGAGAGAAGGGUGUAUAAGAACUCGGGGUUCAAGUUUGGGUUUGCGAAUGUAAAUGACUUGUACAAUUAUUCUCUGUUUUAGUGAUUGGGCUCAAAUUCCGUGGAUGUAGGCAUGAAUUUGCCGAACCACGUAAUUUUGGUGUUCCUUUUUCU